Molecule: transfer RNA, 21 nt
Filed under: Acritopappus confertus
Lineage: Eukaryota; Viridiplantae; Streptophyta; Magnoliopsida; Asterales; Asteraceae
Also listed under: 20 other names
Description: tRNA-Glu
Source: RNAcentral
GGCCAUAGGCCCCUAUGGUCC